Molecule: ribosomal RNA, 170 nt
Filed under: uncultured bacterium
Lineage: Bacteria
Description: partial 16S ribosomal RNA
Rfam family: Bacterial small subunit ribosomal RNA
Source: RNAcentral
CCUACGGGAGGCAGCAGUGGGGAAUAUUGCGCAAUGGAGGAAACUCUGACGCAGUGACGCCGCGUGCAGGAAGAAGGUUUUCGGAUUGUAAACUGCUUUAGACAGGGAAGAAAAAGGACAGUACCUGUAGAAUAAGCUCCGGCUAACUACGUGCCAGCAGCCGCGGUAAU